GUGGGGAAUCUUGCGCAAUGGGCGAAAGCCUGACGCAGCCAUGCCGCGUGAAUGAUGAAGGUCUUAGGAUUGUAAAAUUCUUUCACCGGGGACGAUAAUGACGGUACCCGGAGAAGAAGCUCCGGCUAACUUCGUGCCAGCAGCCGCGGUAAUACGAAGGGGGCUAGCGUUGCUCGGAAUUACUGGGCGUAAAGGGCGCGUAGGCGGACAGCUUAGUCAGAGGUGAAAGCCCAGGGCUCAACCUUGGAAUUGCCUUUGAUACUGGCUGUCUUGAGUUUGGGAGAGGUGAGUGGAACUCCGAGUGUAGAGGUGAAAUUCGUAGAUAUUCGGAAGAACACUAGUGGCGAAGGCGACUCACUGGCCCAAUACUGACGCUGAGGCGCGAAAGCGUGGGGAGCAAACAGGAUUAGAAACCCGAGUAGUCC
Molecule: ribosomal RNA, 425 nt
Filed under: uncultured bacterium
Lineage: Bacteria
Description: partial 16S ribosomal RNA
Rfam family: Bacterial small subunit ribosomal RNA
Source: RNAcentral